CUCGGGUAAGUCCUACACGACCAGCUCCCUCCAACUCCCCCAGGUCUUGACCGAAGCAAGGGUCCGAGGUUGUAGCGGUGCGAUGUAGUAAGCUUGCCCU
RNAcentral lists this signal recognition particle RNA (100 nucleotides) under human gut metagenome. RNAcentral's name for it is "Bacteroidales small SRP". It matches the Rfam family "Bacteroidales small SRP". Rfam says of the family: The non-coding component of the signal recognition particle in Bacteroides The record is from RNAcentral.